AAACCAGCAGGGACCCCAGGUUUAUUAAUCUGGAGAGAGAAAUGUGCUCAAGAUUAAAAAUUUCAUUACAACUCUACCCCCAAAAUGAAAUUGAAACCAUUUGAAUUUUUAGGUCUGCGCCGCUCAUUUGCAAAAAGCUCAUGUAGUCUCUGAAAGGAACGCCACGCCCUACAGUUCAACGUCGCUGCGAAAGAGAUUUCCGACGGAAAAAAAAAUAUUUUCCGUGGUUGGUUAAUUUACUUCUCUCCCUAUCUCGGCGUCUCAUCUAGUUGUGGUGUUCUGGUACAUUUUAUUCCGGCGACAAGCGGCGGCUAGGUUUAUCCAGUAUCAUGUCGACUUUGGGGCGCAAGAAAGCUUGUAUAUAUCUUGUUGUGGAGGAAAUCCUCCAUGAGCAAAUGUUGCAAUUGACCGUGGUCCUUGAUUCAAUUGAGAAGGCAGGGUCACGAAAAAGAAAACGUAAUGGGAGAAAUGUAGCUUAUGGUAUACUACACAGAAUUCCCGAUCAAGUGAAGCACUUGAAUCAAAUGAUAGGUUUUAGUGAUGUCGAUUGUGUUAUAAAUCUUAGGAUGGAUAGAAAUACUUUCGGUAAACUGUGUCGACUUCUGAGGGAUUUAGGUGGGUUGACGGAUGGUCGUUUUGUGACCGUUGAGGAGCAAGUUGUUGUAUUUCUUUCUGUUCUAGCUCAUCACAAAAAAAAAAACAAAGUGGUUAAAUUUGAUUUCUGGAGAAGUGGGCAAACAAUUUCGCACUAUAUUCAUGUAGUGUUGCGAGCCAUUUUGAAAUUACAUGUAAUUCUUUUGGUAAAGCCAACUGCUGUGCCGGAAGACUCGACGGAUCCACGUUGGAAAUGGUUUAAGGGUUGCUUGGGUGCAUUAGAUGGUACCUACAUCAAUGUCAUGGUACCCAACAAUGACAAGCCGCGCUAUAGAACGAGGAAGGGUCAGAUUUCAACCAACACUCUCGUAGUUUGUGACAGGAAUUUGAAAUUUGUUUAUGUCUUGCCCGGGUGGGAGGGGUCACCUGCGGACGCACGAAUACUGCGCGAUGCCCUUAAUCGAGUGAAUGGAUUUAAAGCACCCAGAGGGUCAUAUUAUCUUUGUGACAACGGGUACGCGAAUAGUGAAGGGUUUCUAACGCCGUACAAGGGUGUUAGGUACCACCUUAAAGAGUGGGGGCCAACGGCUGCACGUCCUCGAAAUGCGGAUGAGCUGUUCAAUUUGAGGCACACACGAGCUCGGAAUGUAAUUGAACGCGCAUUCGGUAUAAUGAAGAUGCGAUAGGGUGUAUUGCGCAGCAGCAAAUUUUACCCCGUCAAAGUGCAAAAUAGGCUUAUCAUGGCGUGCUUCCUAAUAAAUAAUUUUAUUAGGAAUGAGAUGAUCGUGGAUCCAAUUGAACAGGCAUUCGACAAUCUACCGAUGGAGAAUGAAUUUGCAGAGCCGCAUCACGAUGAUUAUGUGGAAGUUGUUGAACCCUCGACCGAAUGGGCUGCAACUCGAGACGCCAUGGCUCAAGCAAUGUGGCAACAAUAUGUUGCACUUCACUAAUGUAGCUCAUAGUGGCAGUUGAACCCCCCCUUGUGACUCUCAUUAGAUAUUGUUUUGGGAAUGUCUGCCUUUAAAAUUCAGUUUCGAAUGUUUGAUGAUUAAACCUUGACAUGUUUGAUGGAUGCACAAGUUCCUCGUAUUUAUCUGAAUGCUCCAAUGUGCCCGCGUGGCCAUGGGAGGAUGUUACUGCUGUGCGCGAGUAUGAAUGCGCAAAAUGCCGGACGUUACUACUACAAAUGCCCAGUGAAAGGCACACAUGUGGGAUCUUUCUUUUGGUGUGACGAAUUUCACAACCAAGGACAUGCCCCAGCAUUUCAAAACAUGCCCCAAAUGAAUCCAACAUUUCCUCGCAAUCCUGCAACUCGAUCAGAUGCAUCAUCGAGGCCUGAAAGCAGCGGUUUGGACUAUGGCGACGCGCAGUUGCCUGUUAUAGGAAGAGCGAUGCCGGAGAACGAGCAACAAAUCAAUUUUAUCUUUAUGGCAAUGAUGUUUAUAUUGCAGGGGUUUAUCAUUGGGAAGCUUGUGUGAAAUUUCUUCAACUGAAUUUAUUAACUCUUGAAUAUGAAUGAUUCUUUUGGUAUUCA
Molecule: RNA transcript, 2128 nt
Organism: Salvia miltiorrhiza (redroot sage)
Lineage: Eukaryota; Viridiplantae; Streptophyta; Magnoliopsida; Lamiales; Lamiaceae
Exons: 6
Source: RefSeq, a predicted model, not a curated record